CACGUAGGCACCAAGCGUUGUCCGGAAUUAUUGGGCGUAAAGAGCUCGUAGGCGGUUUGUCGCGUCGGGAGUGAAAACUCGGGGCUUAACUCCGAGCCUGCUUCCGAUACGGGCAGACUAGAGGUAUGCAGGGGAGAACGGAAUUCCUGGUGUAGCGGUGAAAUGCGCAGAUAUCAGGAGGAACACCGGUGGCGAAGGCGGGUCUCUGGGCCGAUAUUGACGCUGAGGAGCGAAAGCGUGGGGAGCAAACAGG
RNAcentral lists this ribosomal RNA (253 nucleotides) under uncultured bacterium. RNAcentral's name for it is "partial 16S ribosomal RNA". It matches the Rfam family "Bacterial small subunit ribosomal RNA", at positions 524 to 776 of the family's 1533-position model. The record is from RNAcentral.